Molecule: long non-coding RNA, 235 nt
Filed under: Trifolium pratense (red clover)
Lineage: Eukaryota; Viridiplantae; Streptophyta; Magnoliopsida; Fabales; Fabaceae
Description: long non-coding RNA (TPRA_LNC008127)
Source: RNAcentral
CCAAACUAUCAUCCAUUUAUCCAAGCUCUAAACUAUCCUUCAUCCUUACCCUAAUAAUCAAUUCAGCCCAAAAACUAAAUAACCUCUGUGAUGGUCGAUUAAAUGAGAAGAAAGGAGAAGGUCGAGAUCUCUGUGAUGAAGAACCAUGAUGAUUGAAGAAGAGUGUAGAUCUGUGAAUGAGAGGAUUUGAUGUAACACAACAAACUAACACACGAAUGUAAAAGUGUUGAAGAUA